CUGCGCAUGCGCAAAUAGCACACUUAAACAUUCACCCACUAAAUCAUAAUAAGCACAAUUCAUUUCAACGCAAAGGAGUAGGCCUCUAUUCUACACGUAUGAAGGCAACAGCAGUGAGUUUCCUGUUGUGUACCCCUUUCACCACCUGGGGGCAUCAUCACUCACCAUCACUACCAUCACGCAUCAGCGGCAGCACUUACCCACAGGCUAAUUUGCAGUAGAAAACGAAAACCUGUUUGUUCUGACGAGAGAAGGCUACAAGACAUUUCUAUCAAGGAUUGUGACAGCUGAAAUAUGGAGCUGCUGAAAAUCUUCUCUGUUCAGAGAAGACGUGGGGCAAGAAACGGCCACCAGAGGGAGCACACAUGCUAUGAAAAAUCAUGUAUAUCCAAUCUAGCAGUGCUCCUGAUGCGGUUAGAGGCUGUGACAAGUCUCUGGGCGGGGGAACCGAGCAGAGCGAGCAAACGGGGUGACGAAGAGGACACGACAUCUGGAGAACACGCAGAAGAAGAAUGCAGCAGUGAGAGACUGAACAUAGGACCUUCUUACCAAAGCUAAAGCCAUCUUUCUCAGCAAUAAACCAGGUCAACAAACAAAAAGCAAUUAUG
Long non-coding RNA from Neogobius melanostomus (round goby), 608 nucleotides. Lineage: Eukaryota; Metazoa; Chordata; Actinopteri; Gobiiformes; Gobiidae. The record is from Ensembl.